This 273-nucleotide ribosomal RNA is filed under the name Salmonella enterica. Its description in RNAcentral is "partial 16S ribosomal RNA". It matches the Rfam family "Bacterial small subunit ribosomal RNA", at positions 513 to 785 of the family's 1533-position model. Lineage: Bacteria; Pseudomonadati; Pseudomonadota; Gammaproteobacteria; Enterobacterales; Enterobacteriaceae. RNAcentral also lists the same sequence under 1 other name. The record is from RNAcentral.
AGCCGCGGUAAUACAGAGGGUGCAAACGUUAAUCGGAAUUACUGGGCGUAAAGCGCGCGUAGGUGGUUUGUUAAGUUGGAUGUGAAAUCCCCGGGCUCAACCUGGGAACUGCAUUCAAAACUGACUGACUAGAGUAUGGUAGAGGGUGGUGGAAUUUCCUGUGUAGCGGUGAAAUGCGUAGAUAUAGGAAGGAACACCAGUGGCGAAGGCGACCACCUGGACUAAUACUGACACUGAGGUGCGAAAGCGUGGGGAGCAAACAGGAUUAGAUAC